Molecule: long non-coding RNA, 1341 nt
Organism: Macrobrachium nipponense
Lineage: Eukaryota; Metazoa; Arthropoda; Malacostraca; Decapoda; Palaemonidae
Exons: 2
Source: RefSeq, a predicted model, not a curated record
UUCCACCUAACACAAUCAUUACCAUUACCGUUACAAUUUCUCCUCUUUACUGAUUAUUAUUAUUAUUAUUAUUCCCCAGCCAGGCGAUGUCAUUGUCUUCCACAUGAGAACAGUGCACGGAGCAGCUGGCAACAGUUCGUCAACAAAUCAGCGACGGGUGUUGUCAUCACGAUGGUUAGGCGACGACGCAGUCUUGGCGACACGCCCUUGGGAGGUGUCGCCGCCCAUCACGGGUGGUCUGCAGCCCGGUCAGAGGGCCGUCUGUGAUACAUUCCCUUUGGUCUACAGGAGAGAGUGACGACCACCUGCCCGACCCUGGAGGAGGAGACGCCGUCGCUUUGGCAUUAGCAAUAUGACCUCUUUUCAUGGGGAACCAAAUUAGUUUUAUUGAGAUCAACUCUUGAUUUAAGACUUUUUCCUUCCUCUGUGUCUCUCCAUCUCCACAACACACUCUUUCUGUCUAUUAACCACUAUCUCAUUGCUAUUACACUCAGCGUGUGUGUCUCUACAAUCAAGAAUAAAUGACGCAUCUCUGUAUUAAUCUACUCGUACUUAAACUUGUAUCUUUGGUGUUCAAUAAUCAUCUACAGAAGGGUCUUUGCCCUGAUUUGAAAAUAUUCAAAAAGUGGAUCCCGAGAUAAAACUAGCCAAUUGUCCUGACAUAGGCGUACUUUAACGGAUGAGUCAUGGCUGAGCCCUCAUGCUAAAAAGAUAUUCCAAUACACCAACCACUCAUCAGCAGCCCAAUAAAGCCCUCUAUGCACGCUGCACUCCCCACCUUCAUCUUGUACAAUCGCUCUGGAAAGUUCUGGCACACUUUUCAGUGAAUUUUGGACAAGAGUUUACGAAAUAGUAACUGGCAACUUUUACGAGGCCAUCCCUCCCGUCUUCUCUCUGACAGUGAUAUAAUAUCACUCAGUCUCGGACUGUCGCCAGAUCAGCUGUAGCUUGCCACACGGAAAAAAAAAGAAAAUAAGACCCAGAGAGGAAGUAAUUUGCGCAGUGCUUUUUAUUUUAUCGACAAAUUUCUUUCUAGUGUUUUCCCUUUUGCUUCAUACUGGUUUUAGCAGAUGCCAAUUUUAUAACAAAGAGAGAGAGAGAGAGAGAUGGAACAAGCGCUGCUUGCCUGUCUUGAAAUAAAUUCCUAGUCUUUUGCUCUAACCGGAUGUAUUUGUUUGCUCAGCUUUGCUGCAACAAAUCACAACAUUGAAUAUUGAAUAUGAUAUCAAUUAAUAUGCUCAUCCAUACUCACACACACUCACACAAAAAGUUAAAAUUCAUCUUAAGUGACACCUUUUUACAUGGACUGUUAGGCCUACCCUUUUUAAAUUCUAUACCUAU